RNAcentral lists this long non-coding RNA (208 nucleotides) under Lathyrus oleraceus (garden pea). RNAcentral's name for it is "Pisum sativum (pea) long non-coding RNA (PSAT_LNC038186)". Lineage: Eukaryota; Viridiplantae; Streptophyta; Magnoliopsida; Fabales; Fabaceae. The record is from RNAcentral.
CUGAGUAUCAUGUUGUUUUCCUUUUUGAAAAUGAUUGCCUGUCCAUGAAGAAAUGAUGAGAUAAAGUUUGAUGUUUGAAAAUGUUUCUUGUGAUUUCUUGUUGUAUAGUUCAAAUUGAUGAAAUUAGGGUUUGGAUUGUUGUUGUAUGGUGUUUGAUGUUUACAAUGAUGUGCUCAAUUGACAUUUUUGGGAAGAAUUGAGAAAUCAC